This 253-nucleotide ribosomal RNA is filed under the name uncultured bacterium. RNAcentral describes it as "partial 16S ribosomal RNA". It matches the Rfam family "Bacterial small subunit ribosomal RNA", at positions 524 to 776 of the family's 1533-position model. The record is from RNAcentral.
UACGUAGGGACCGAGCGUUGUCCGGAUUCAUUGGGCGUAAAGAGCUCGUAGGCGGCUUUGCAAGUGACGGGUGAAAUCCCUCGGCUUAACCGAGGAACUGCCUGUCAAACUGCAUGGCUUGAGACCGGGAGAGGUGAGUGGAAUUCCCAGUGUAGCGGUGAAAUGCGUAGAUAUUGGGAGGAACACCAGUGGCGAAGGCGGCUCACUGGACCGGUACUGACGCUGAGGCGCGAAAGCGUGGGUAGCAAACAGG